This 101-nucleotide non-coding RNA is filed under the name Clostridium estertheticum. Its description in RNAcentral is "SAM-I sequence". It matches the Rfam family "SAM riboswitch aptamer (S box leader)". From Rfam's summary of the family: The SAM riboswitch is found upstream of a number of genes which code for proteins involved in methionine or cysteine biosynthesis in Gram-positive bacteria. The SAM riboswitch acts at the level of transcription termination control. Lineage: Bacteria; Bacillati; Bacillota; Clostridia; Eubacteriales; Clostridiaceae. The record is from RNAcentral.
GUCUUAUCAAGAGAGGUGGAGGGACUGGCCCAAUGAAACCCGACAACCAGUAUCGCAAGAUACAUGGUGUUAAAUCCUGCAGCAUGGCUGCAAGAUAAGAA